UGGGGAAUUUUGGACAAUGGGCGAAAGCCUGAUCCAGCCAUGCCGCGUGCAGGAUGAAGGCCUUCGGGUUGUAAACUGCUUUUGUACGGAACGAAACGGCCUUUUCUAAUAAAGAGGGCUAAUGACGGUACCGUAAGAAUAAGCACCGGCUAACUACGUGCCAGCAGCCGCGGUAAUACGUAGGGUGCAAGCGUUAAUCGGAAUUACUGGGCGUAAAGCGUGCGCAGGCGGUAAUGUAAGACAGUUGUGAAAUCCCCGGGCUCAACCUGGGAACUGCAUCUGUGACUGCAUUGCUGGAGUACGGCAGAGGGGGAUGGAAUUCCGCGUGUAGCAGUGAAAUGCGUAGAUAUGCGGAGGAACACCGAUGGCGAAGGCAAUCCCCUGGGCCUGUACUGACGCUCAUGCACGAAAGCGUGGGGAGCAAACAGG
RNAcentral lists this ribosomal RNA (429 nucleotides) under uncultured bacterium. RNAcentral describes it as "bacterial SSU rRNA". It matches the Rfam family "Bacterial small subunit ribosomal RNA", at positions 355 to 776 of the family's 1533-position model. The record is from RNAcentral.